This 85-nucleotide transfer RNA is filed under the name Felis catus (domestic cat). It matches the Rfam family "tRNA". Rfam says of the family: Transfer RNA (tRNA) molecules are approximately 80 nucleotides in length. Lineage: Eukaryota; Metazoa; Chordata; Mammalia; Carnivora; Felidae. RNAcentral also lists the same sequence under 4 other names. The record is from Rfam by way of RNAcentral.
GCCUGGGUGGUUCAGUUGGUUGAGCGUCUGACUUCGGCUCAGGUCAAGAUCUCAGGGUUCGUGAGUUUGAGCCCCACAUCAGGCU